GUCGUGCUUUACGACUGGCCUCAAAUGCCUGAGUGCACCCUGCUCUUGCGGCGUCUUCAGUGUGAUAAGCAUCUUCACUGGAACAAGCUCCCUUGUGGACACGCUUGCGUUGUGGGCUCUGUGCUUGCAAACCGUCCGCCAUGUGGACAAGACCUUGACAAUUUGACCUCAAAUCGGGUGGGACUACCCGCUGAACUUAA
RNAcentral lists this unclassified non-coding RNA (200 nucleotides) under soil metagenome. RNAcentral describes it as "partial contains internal transcribed spacer 2 and large subunit ribosomal RNA". The record is from RNAcentral.